UUGAACGCUGGCGGCAGGCCUAACACAUGCAGGUCGAGCGGAUGAAGGGAGCUUGCUCCUGGAUUCAGCGGCGGACGGGUGAGUAAUGCCUAGGAAUCUGCCUGGUAGUGGGGGAUAACGUCCGGAAACGGGCGCUAAUACCGCAUACGUCCUGAGGGAGAAAGUGGGGGAUCUUCGGACCUCACGCUAUCAGAUGAGCCUAGGUCGGAUUAGCUAGUUGGUGGGGUAAAGGCCUACCAAGGCGACGAUCCGUAACUGGUCUGAGAGGAUGAUCAGUCACACUGGAACUGAGACACGGUCCAGACUCCUACGGGAGGCAGCAGUGGGGAAUAUUGGACAAUGGGCGAAAGCCUGAUCCAGCCAUGCCGCGUGUGUGAAGAAGGUCUCCGGAUUGUAAAGCACUUUAAGUUGGGAGGAAGGGCAGUAAGUUAAUACCUUGCUGUUUUGACGUUACCAACAGAAUAAGCACCGGCUAACUUCGUG
RNAcentral lists this ribosomal RNA (483 nucleotides) under uncultured bacterium. RNAcentral describes it as "partial 16S ribosomal RNA". It matches the Rfam family "Bacterial small subunit ribosomal RNA", at positions 30 to 507 of the family's 1533-position model. The record is from RNAcentral.